Molecule: ribosomal RNA, 819 nt
Filed under: uncultured marine archaeon
Lineage: Archaea
Description: bacterial SSU rRNA
Rfam family: Archaeal small subunit ribosomal RNA
Source: RNAcentral
UGCGAGUCAUUGUAGUAAUACAAGGCAGACGGCUCAGUAACGCGUAGUCAACCUAACCUAUGGACGGGAAUAACCUCGGGAAACUGAGUAUAAUGCCCGAUAGAACAUUAUGCCUGGAAUGGUUUAUGUUCCAAAUGAUUUAUCGCCGUAGGAUGGGACUGCGGCCUAUCAGUUUGUUGGUGAGGUAAUGGCCCACCAAGACUAUUACAGGUACGGGCUCUGAGAGGAGUAGCCCGGAGAUGGGUACUGAGACACGGACCCAGGCCCUAUGGGGCGCAGCAGGCGAGAAAACUUUGCAAUGUGCGAAAGCACGACAAGGUUAAUCCGAGUGGUUUCUGCUAAAGGAACCUUUUGUCGGUCCUAGAAACACCGAUGAAUAAGGGGUGGGCAAGUUCUGGUGUCAGCCGCCGCGGUAAAACCAGCACCUCAAGUGGUCAGGAUGAUUAUUGGGCCUAAAGCAUCCGUAGCCGGCUCUGUUAGUUUUCGGUUAAAUCUGUACGCUCAACGUACAGGCUGCCGGGAAUACUGCAGAGCUAGGGAGUGGGAGAGGUAGACGGUACUCGGUAGGAAGGGGUAAAAUCCUUUUGAUCCUAUUGAUGACCACCUGUGGCGAAGGCGGUCUACCAGAACACGUCCCGACGGUGAGGGAUGAAAGCUGGGGGAGCAAACCGGAUUAGAUACCCGGGUAGUCCCAGCUGUAAACUAUGCAAACUCAGUGAUGCAUUGGCUUGUGGCCAAUGCAGUGCUGCAGGGAAGCCGUUAAGUUUGCCGCCUGGGAAGUACGUACGCAAGUAUGAAACUUAAAGGAAUUGGCGGGGG